AGAGAAGAGUGUCCAGCUCCUCCAGAGGCUGCCCGCCCGCCGCUCCUUCCCUGCCCACCUACUAUGAGGAGCAGCUCCUCCCACCUGCCCAUAAAAGCCAAGUGCAUGUUACCAGCAGCGGAUCACAGCCCUUCCCCGAUCCUCUCCGUGGGAGCCAGCGAGCCUCUCUCCCUGAUCUUACGUGCUCAAGGGAGCUCACACGUUCACCAACUCACCCUUGAAGUCAUCUCAAGAACAAAAGACAACUGAAAGACGUUUCCAUACAGUUCCUCGCUCAGAACAGCUUCAGCUGUCUAUGGGAAGGCUUCACAAGACAAAGAGCUAGGACUUGGCCAUUUACACAAAACCAAAAGUGAAUUACCCAGAGUGUGCUGGCAGAGAGACUUGAAUGUAAGGACAUGGGAAAAUCUACACAGGUUGCCAAUGGUUUGUGACUGUGAGAAAAGAAAAGAAAAAUUAAAGAAAAUCUUACUAGCAUAAUUCACAUUGGACAACAUGAGCACAUUCCAGUCAAUCCACUUUAUAGACAUGAUCUCACUGGUCUCCCCAACAUCCCUACAAGGAAAUGAGGGGGACCAGUAUGGCUCCACCCUUAGGUCAAAAGCCCAUCCUUCACUCCCACUUGUGGCUGUGAGUGGGUGGAACACAUUUAAACAGGGGAACAAAUUACCAUCUUCCUUGCUUUUGACCCUUUAACAUGCGGGUGAGCAAGUCUGCCUUUUCCCUGCUUGAGGCCAUACAAUUCCCAAAACAACUUGUCUGAAAUGUUGGGGGCUGAGUCAUUGGCCAGUGAUAGUUUUCAAACAACUGCUGGUUUGUUUCUCAACCACUGCUUGGCCAUGCUGACUUGGACACAAUACAGCAUGUAAUAAAAGUGCCUGGGAUAUUUUCCUCCUUGGCCCAGAGAAGACUUUUAGAAGGAAAGACAAUGGUGAAUACGGAAGGGGAGAUGAAUGCACUAGAAAGAUAUGUUGCCAGCAUUGUGCUCAGCCGAAGAGAAGCUUUGAGACCAAGAAAUGUGAGCAUAUUGGGCAUCUAGAAGUUCUCCCAGAUAGUAGCGUAGAUCUCCAUUUUUCUGGGUUGUUUGUUGUUGUUGUUUGUUGUUGUCAUUUUCUGCACUAUGCUGCCUCUCAAGACUCCCUUAUGUGUGCUAUAAAAAAAAAUCCAUGACAGAAUGGUCUAUUCUCCACAAAAAUAGUUACUAUUGUUGUUGAGGUGUUACUAAUAGUUACUAGUAGUUACAAAAAUAGUUACUAAUGUUGUUGAGGUGAAGUCAAUGGGAAAGAUAGUAGUAAAAUAGCAAAAAUGUAUUAGAUAGUAUUUUUCACAUUGGGAAUAUAAGACAAUUCAUUCAAAAACCAACUCCUUAGGAUUCAUUUUAUUAUCUUACACUUAAAAAUAUGUUUAGAUUUUUCUUUCUUGCACUAGAAAUUAAAUUGUCCUAUAUAUUGAGGGAUGAAAAGCACAGAUGAUUAUCCGUAUAAAUAUUGACACACAUACUCACUCUAUCCACAUAGCUAUCUGUUAUGGAUAAAGAACUCGGCAACUUCUAGCAGUCAUCUGAGAUGAGCACCAUAUGUGCAUUAUUUCACUAAAGCUUUCAGAGCUUGAGAAAAAUAGCCUGAAGAAUAAGAUUGUUUCUUUCUGAGCCAAGGUUGCAAUCUUCCAAGUCCAAGAUGUGCUUGAAAAUACUCAUUAGGUAAUUGUCAAAGCCUAGGAAGACCAGUUUAAGAAUAUGAAAUAAUAUUACUACUGACUUCUCUUUUUGUGUUCAAUCCAGAUGGAAGCUGGACACAUGAGAAGUGACGUUUGUAUAAUAGCAAAGAAAAGAACAGAGAACAAGAAAGCAAAACCCUUCACACCUAUGUUCUCUUUAUAGGAUCUCAUUACUGUUUGCUCUCUAUAAUCCCCAGAAAAUAGAAAAAGUAUAUCUAUCCAAUAAGUUGUGGAAAGUCUCCCUCUGUCCUUCUAUAAUAGAGUUUCCAGUCAUUGUUAGACAACUGCAUUUCAUUCACCAAUAGUGGCCUAUUGAAAUCAUCAACAGGAGAAACAGUUGUUAAUAUCAAAUAAAGAGUCUUGCAAUGGAAGUCAAAAUACUUUACUCUUUCACUAACUUGGUGUAUGAUCUUGAGCAAGUCAUUUAACCUCUCUAAGUUUGCUUGCCUCAUCUGUCAAACAAGAGAGAUGAGAUAAAUUAUCUCCACAGGCAUUUUCAGAACUAUUCUAGUCUUUUUGGAAAUUGGUUUAUAUUUGUAGAAAAGGUUCAAUCUGUUUCUGGCAUGGCAGUGACCAAGUCAGAAUUUCUAUUUGGGAGAUGAGAAAAACACAUUAACAAGAUUAAUUACUGUAGCUGAAAGAUACAUAAAUAUGGAUUGGGGUGUAUUUUUAAUACCACAAAAACUUCCAUUCCUGAGUUACUUCAUUAGCAACUGUUACUUCAACCAUCUAGGUUGAGGUUUUCCAGUAAUUCUAGGUCAGCAAUUAUGGACCCUACUUAUUUUCUUUUUUUUAUUAUACUUUAAGUUCUAGGGUACAUGUGCACAAUGUGCAGGUCUGUUACAUAUGUAUACAUGUGCCAUGUUGGUGUGCUGCACCCAUUAACUCAUCAUUUACAUUAGGUAUAUCUCCUAAUGCUAUCCCUCCCACCUCCCCCAACCCCAUGACAGGCCCCGGUGUGUGACGUUCCCCUUCCUGUGUCCAAGUGUUCUCAUUGUUCAAUUCCCACCUAUGAGUGAGAACAGGCGGUGUUUGGUUUUCUGUCUUUGCGAUAGUUUGCUCAGAAUGAUGGUUUCCAGCUUCAUCUAUGUCCCUACAAAGGACAUGAACUCAUUCUUUUUUAUGGCUGCAUAGUAUUCCAUGGUGUAUAUGUGCCACAUUUUCUUAAUCCAGUCUACCAUUGAUGGACAUUUGGGUUGGUUCCAAGUCUUUGCUAUUGUGAAUAGUGCCGCAAUAAACAUACAUGUG
RNAcentral lists this long non-coding RNA (2964 nucleotides) under Homo sapiens (human). RNAcentral's name for it is "non-protein coding lnc-COL8A1-3:2". The record is from RNAcentral. Lineage: Eukaryota; Metazoa; Chordata; Mammalia; Primates; Hominidae.